RNAcentral lists this ribosomal RNA (510 nucleotides) under uncultured bacterium. RNAcentral's name for it is "partial 16S ribosomal RNA". It matches the Rfam family "Bacterial small subunit ribosomal RNA", at positions 354 to 880 of the family's 1533-position model. The record is from RNAcentral.
GUGGGGAAUGUUGCACAAUGGGCGAAAGCCUGAUGCAGCGACGCCGCGUGAGUGAUGAAGGUCUUCGGAUUGUAAAGCUCUGUCUUUUGGGACGAUAAUGACGGUACCAAAGGAGGAAGCCACGGCUAACUACGUGCCAGCAGCCGCGGUAAUACGUAGGUGGCGAGCGUUGUCCGGAUUUACUGGGCGUAAAGGGUGCGUAGGCGGAUGUUUAAGUGAGAUGUGAAAUACCCGGGCUUAACUUGGGUGCUGCAUUUCAAACUGGAUAUCUAGAGUGCAGGAGAGGAGAAUGGAAUUCCUAGUGUAGCGGUGAAAUGCGUAGAGAUUAGGAAGAGCACCAGUGGCGAAGGCGAUUCUCUGGACUGUAACUGACGCUGAGGCACGAAAGCGUGGGUAGCAAACAGGAUUAGAUACCCUGGUAGUCCACGCCGUAAACGAUGAGUACUAGGUGUAGGAGGUAUCGACCCCUUCUGUGCCGCAGUAAACACAUUAAGUACUCCGCCUGGGAAG